GAGAGGUGGCUCAGAGGUUGAGAGCACUUGCUGCACUGUUCUUGCAGAGGACCUGGGUUCAGUUCCCAGCACCCACA
RNAcentral lists this transfer RNA (77 nucleotides) under Mus musculus (house mouse). RNAcentral's name for it is "tRNA-Asn". Lineage: Eukaryota; Metazoa; Chordata; Mammalia; Rodentia; Muridae. The record is from RNAcentral.